This 1466-nucleotide ribosomal RNA is filed under the name metagenome. RNAcentral describes it as "bacterial SSU rRNA". It matches the Rfam family "Bacterial small subunit ribosomal RNA". The record is from RNAcentral.
GUACGAGAACACUUCAGCUUGCUGAAGCUAGUAAAGUGGCGUACGGGUGAGUAACGCGUGGGUAAUCUACCUUCGAAUUGGGGAUAACGUUACGAAAGUGACGCUAAUACCGGAUAAUAUCAUAGGGACUUCGGUUCUUAUGAUCAAAGAUGGCCUCUCCUUGGAAGCUAUUGUUUGGAGAUGAGCCCGCGUCCCAUUAGCUUGUUGGUAGGGUAAUGGCCUACCAAGGCGACGAUGGGUAGCUGGUCUGAGAGGAUGAUCAGCCACACUGGAACUGACACACGGUCCAGACUCCUACGGGAGGCAGCAGUGAGGAAUUUUGCGCAAUGGGGGAAACCCUGAUGCAGCAACGCCGCGUGAGUGAUGAAGGCUUUCGGGUCGUAAAGCUCUGUCAAGUGGGAAGAACUCCCAUGAGGUUAAUACCCUCAUGGUUUGACGGUACCACUGAAGGAAGCACCGGCUAACUCCGUGCCAGUAGUUGUGGUAAUACGGGGGGUGCAAGCGUUAUUCGGAUUUACUGGGCGUAAAGCGCGCGUAGGCGGCCGUUUAAGUCAGAUGUGAAAGCCCGGGGUUUAAUCCCGGAAGUGUAUUUGAUAUUAUUCGGCUUGAGUAUGGGAGAGGGAAGUGGAAUUCCUGGUGUAGAGGUGAAAUUUGUAGAUAUUAGGAGGAAUACCGGUGGUGAAGGCGACUUCCUGGACCAAUACUGACGCUGAGGCGCGAAGGCGUGGGUAGCAAACAGGAUUAGAUAUCCUGGUAGUUUAUGCAGUAAACGGUGAUCACUAGGUGUAGCGGGUAUUGAUUCCUGCUGUGCCGCAGUUAACGCAUUAAGUGAUCCGCCUGGGGAGUACGGCCGCAAGGUUAAAACUCAAAGGAAUUGACGGGGGCCCGCAUAAGUGGUGGAGCAUGUGGUUUAAUUUGAUGCAAUGUGAAGAACCUUACCUGGAUUUGACAUCUCGGGAAUUUCUAUGAAAGUAGGAAGUGCCCUUCGGGGAGCCCGAAGACAGGUGUUGUAUGGCUGUCGUCAGCUCGUGUUGUGAGAUGUUGGGUUAAGUUUUGUAACGAGUGCAACCCCUAUCUUUAGUUACCAGCACUUUGGGUGGGGAUUCUAAAGAUACUGCCCCGGUUAACGGGGAGGAAGGUGGGGAUGACGUCAAGUCCUCAUGGCCUUUAUGUCCAGGGCUACACACGUGUUAUAAUGGGCAGUACAGAGGGUCGUGAUAUUGUGAGGUGGAGUUAAUUUUUUAAAGCUGUUCUAAGUUCGGAUUGGAGUCUGUAAUUUGACUCCAUGAAGCUGGAAUCGCUAGUAAUCGCGGAUUAGUAUGCCGUGGUGAAUAUGUUUUUGGGCCUUGUACACACCGCCCGUCACACCAUGAGAGUUGGUUGUACCCGACGUCGCUGGGUAAACUCAUUAGAGAUGUAGGCGUUUAAGGUAUGGCUGAUGAUUGGGGUGAAGUUGAAAUAAGGUA